RNAcentral lists this ribosomal RNA (460 nucleotides) under uncultured bacterium. RNAcentral describes it as "partial 16S ribosomal RNA". It matches the Rfam family "Bacterial small subunit ribosomal RNA", at positions 338 to 795 of the family's 1533-position model. The record is from RNAcentral.
CCUACGGGAGGCUGCAGUGAGGAAUAUUGGUCAAUGGACGAGAGUCUGAACCAGCCAAGUAGCGUGAAGGAUGACUGCCCUAUGGGUUGUAAACUUCUUUUAUAUGGGAAUAAAACGUUCCACGUGUGGGAUUUUGUAUGUACCAUAUGAAUAAGGAUCGGCUAACUCCGUGCCAGCAGCCGCGGUAAUACGGAGGAUCCGAGCGUUAUCCGGAUUUAUUGGGUUUAAAGGGAGCGUAGGUGGAUUGUUAAGUCAGUUGUGAAAGUUUGCGGCUCAACCGUAAAAUUGCAGUUGAAACUGGCAGUCUUGAGUACAGUAGAGGUGGGCGGAAUUCGGGGUGUAGCGGUGAAAUGCUUAGAUAUCACGAAGAACUCCGAUUGCGAAGGCAGUUCACUGGACUGCAACUGACACUGAGGCUCGAAAGUGUGGGUAUCAAACAGGAUUAGAUACCCUGGUAGUC